AUAGUUAAGAGUUUGAUCCUAGCUCAGGAUGAACGCUGGCGGCGUGGAUAAGGCAUGCAAGUCAAGGGCCCCGCCCUUAUGGCGCAAGCCAAAAGGGCGGGGACCGGCAGACGAGGUAGUAAUAAUUAGGUACGCACCCUGGAGUCGGGCAUAGCUCGUCGAAAGACGGGGUAAUUCCCGAUGGUCCCCGCUCUUUUGAUCCGUUGUUGCAAGGGAAAAUUUCUUGUGACCGCGGAUCAAAAGAGCGGGGUAAAGUUUUUCGCUCCGGGAGCGGCCUGAUCGGUAUCAGCUAGUUGGUAGGGUAACGGCCUACCAAGGCUAUGACGCCUAGGGGAGCUGAGAGGCUGACCCCCACCGAGGGCACUGAGACACGGGCCCUACACCUACGGGUGGCCGCAGUCGAGAAUCUUCCGCAAUGGGCGAAAGCCUGACGGAGCGACGCCGCGUGGAGGAUGAAGCGCUUCGGCGCGUAAACUCCUUUUGCCGGGGACGAAGUCUAUUGACGGUACCCGGAGAAUAAGAGGUUGCUAAACUCGUGCCAGCAGCAGCGGUAAUACGAGUGCCUCGAGCGUUAUCCGGAAUCAUUGGGCGUAAAGGGUGCGCAGGCGGCCGCGUUAGUCUCCCGUAAAAUUCUCCGGCUCAACCGGGGAGGCGCGGGGGAAACGGCGCGGCUUGAGGGCGGCAGAGGUCUCCGGAACUCUAGGUGUAGCGGUGAAAUGCGUUGAUAUCUAGGGGAACACCGAAAGCGAAGGCAGGAGACUGGGCCGUCCCUGACGCUCAAGCACGAAAGCGUGGGUCGCGAAAGGGAUUAGAUACCCCUGUAGUCCACGCCCUAAACGAUGAUCUCUCGCUUUGAGGAGUAUCGACCCUCUUCGAGGCCAAGCUAACGCGUUAAGAGAUCCGCCUGGGUAGUACGGCCGCAAGGCUGAAACUCAAAGGAAUAGACGGGGACUUGCACAAGCGGUGGAACAUGUGGUUCAAUUCGACGCUAAACGAAGAACCUUACCAGGGCUAGAAAUCCAUUCGAAGGCCGGCAGAAACGUCGGCCGCCGCAAGGCGGAUGGACAGGUGCUGCAUGGCUGUCGUCAGUUCGUGGUUUGAACUGUUCCCUUCAGUGGGGUAACGAACGCAACCCCUGUUGCCUGUUACAAGUGUCAGGCGAGACCGCCCCGCCCUUUUGAUUUUAGUUUUCUGUGAAUAGAAUCAAAAGGGCGGGGAGGAAGGUGGGGAUGACGCCAAGUCAGCAUGGCCCUUGAUGCCCUGGGCCACACACGUGUUACAAUCGCGGCUACAACGGGACGCAAUGGCGACGAAAGCCGGAGCAAACCCUCAGAAAAGCCGCGCCAGUUCGGAUUGAGGUCUGCAACUCGACCUCAUGAAGCCGGAAUCGCUAGUAAUCGCGGGUCAGCUAUACCGCGGUGAAUACGUUCUCAAGUCUUGUACUCACCGCCCGUCAAGCUAAGGGAGUCGGAAGCGCCCGAAGUCCCGCCUCGCGCGGGCCUACGGCGAGUUCGAUGACAAGAGCUAAGUCGUAACAAGGCACGGGUAGCGGAAGCUGCUCGUGGAAUAUUUCAAGG
RNAcentral lists this ribosomal RNA (1577 nucleotides) under Patescibacteria group bacterium. RNAcentral's name for it is "bacterial SSU rRNA". It matches the Rfam family "Bacterial small subunit ribosomal RNA". The record is from RNAcentral.